This 464-nucleotide ribosomal RNA is filed under the name uncultured bacterium. Its description in RNAcentral is "partial 16S ribosomal RNA". It matches the Rfam family "Bacterial small subunit ribosomal RNA", at positions 29 to 507 of the family's 1533-position model. The record is from RNAcentral.
ACGAACGCUGGCGGCGUGCUUAACACAUGCAAGUCGAACGGAAAGGCCCUGCUUGCAGGGUACUCGAGUGGCGAACGGGUGAGUAACACGUGGGUGAUCUGCCCUGCACUUCGGGAUAAGCCUGGGAAACUGGGUCUAAUACCGGAUAGGAGCCAUUUUUAGUGUGAUGGUUGGAAAGUUUUUUCGGUGUAGGAUGAGCUCGCGGCCUAUCAGCUUGUUGGUGGGGUAAUGGCCUACCAAGGCGGCGACGGGUAGCCGGCCUGAGAGGGUGGACGGCCACAUUGGGACUGAGAUACGGCCCAGACUCCUACGGGAGGCAGCAGUGGGGAAUAUUGCACAAUGGGCGCAAGCCUGAUGCAGCGACGCCGCGGGGGGGAGGACGGCCUUCGGGUUGUAAACGCCUUUCGCUAGGGACGAAGCUUUUUGUGACGGUACCUAGAGAAGAAGCACCGGCUAACUACGUG